CGGCUGGCAGAGGUUAAGGCCUGGCUUCUGCUCCCGACGCGUCCCGGCGCGUCUGGGUUCAAAUCCGCCUGCCGACCUCUCGGGGUGUUUGAGAGGUGAUGGGAGGUGGCCCCCCAUCUUGUGGACGGUGUAGGACGUGAUAAAAUCAACUCGCGAGCCGACCAGGAACUAAGUUGACGCGCCGUUGAUCCGCUAGACUUGGUUGGAUGCUGGUGGUGAGUUGCCAAACUCAAAGAGUACACUCUGAAGUCGGAUGGGGUGAAUGGCUUAGGGUGCCCCUCUAGCAGGGGAGAGCAGGGAAUUGCCUCGGGAAGGAGGCCACUGGUGAAGCGUAACCACCCUGUAACAACAUCCAUGUGAACAAGUGCUAGUGGCUGGGCUGCCUUGUGCCCUGUUAACGGAAAAGGACCUCGUGUCUGUUUUGCAUAAACGCAAGUCUCACACACACACGCGCUGGCUCAUUGUAUGCUGUGUCGGUCAACAUCGAAUCCAGUUACCAUAUCAUGACGCAGCAGCGCCUCAAGGUUGCUGUAUCCUAAGUGGCCAUACCUUCGGUGCCAAAGUGCUGCACGUUCAGCUCCGAUACCCACGGCAGCACACACUGCAUCACCACCAGAAGGUAUCCUGUUGUCUUCACCUGUCCGCCGCCGAAGACCACACUGCCUCCACGAUCAUCAAUGAUGCGGACCGAUAUGAUUUUGGCGGUGGCCUCCUCAUCGACGUAGACCUUCUUGAAAGUGAUGGCCUGUUUAUCAUUGACGUUAGACCGAAUCAUAAGCGUGCCAACUUCAGUCGGCCGAAGAGACUGUCCCUUGAUGCCCAUGAUGUUGAAGCGCUCCCAUGGCUCCAAUAACCGCACGUUGGAAAGUUCUGAGCGGUCAUACGUUAUGUGGUGAGUGGCGGCUGAGUCCAGAAACCAUUCCGUCGGACGCUCGCUGUUGUAUGUAUUGGAGAAUUGGCGACGGUGACGGCUAACGCUGAUUGUUAUCUCGGAAGAAUUGCCGGCGGCGAAGAUAUUUAGCACGAUAAAACGUUACAAGUUAUGUAAAGAGUAUUAUAAGCGUUCGGCAGGACUUGAGGAGAUUCCUGGUAGGAAUACCGAUCGUUGUGAGAUAAACAAAUAAGCGCAGUCACCGCCCUAAAUACCAGCGCUAGCGGAAAACUCGUACAUUCCGCGAUCUAACUGCACGUACAUUCCGCGAUCUCACUGCGCCGUCCUGACGGUGCCCAAUGUCUAUCACUUAGCUACCGGAUAUGCAUCGGUAGCCCAUAAGGUUCUGGGGUAAGUCUUCCCCAUUAGUCAGGCGCAGACCCGGGGUCAAAUCCCCUGGUCGACAAACACACGAGUUGGGAGAGGACUGUUUCCUCAACACGCCCCCUCGGGCCGUAUCCCAACGAGUACCAAGUUCAUCUGCACACUUCACACAAGGCCCAUCGCAUCUCGGCAACGUUUGAACUUCACCUCGCCCAGAGCCUUCGUUAGCACAUCCGCAACCAUCCACUCCGUAGGGCAGUAUUCCAACUGCACCUCACCACUAUUCACCCUCUCACGCACUAUGUGAUGCUGCACGUCGAUGUGCUUCGACCGAGCAGACGUAAUCGGGUUAUUUCCCCAGCUAAGCGCCCCCUGGGAAUCUAUUUGGAUUCUGAUAGCGCUCUCAGGCAAACCCAAAUCAACCAUCAGCUUGCGAAGCCACAAAGCCUCGCGAACAGCUGCUGCUGUCGCUUGAUACUCGGCCUCCACCGACGAAGCCGCCACAGUACGUUGAAGUUGGCUGCUCCAGCUAAUCGCAGCCCCAUUAAGAGGAAAACGAGCCGAAGANNNNNNNNNNNNNNNNNNNNNNNNNNNNNNNNNNNNNNNNNNNNNNNNNNUUCGCCACCGGCAAUCCUUCCGAAAUAACAAUCAGCGUUAGCCGUCACCGUCGCCAAUUCUUCAAUAGUUCCCGCCAUUUCCACAUCAGGCUGAUUGAUUUCUUGCCCGUUCGCACUGCUGGAAGGUCCAGCCCCAGCCGGCGCCCCCUCGCCACCCAAAUGCGGCGAUCCCUGGCCGACGGUGCUACCUGGUGUCCCUUCGCCAGCCCUAGGCAGCGAUCCCUCACCAGAUAAACUAGUGUGAAACUCCUCCACCUCGUCGGCAUCGGACUCAUAAUCGGAGUCCCCGGCAUUACGCCGCCGGCCGACAUUAGACUCAUCGAAACGAACGUAAGAAACUACGGCAAUAAUGCCGUCCUCGUAUAGCACACGAUACUGUCCUCCGUUCCCGUAUCCGACAAGUAUUCCACGCCUGCUCACCCCUGCUCACCGGGUCGAACUUGUCGCGCUUGACGUCGGGUACGUGGACGUAGGCAACGCAUCCAAAGACUCGCAGGUGACUGACGUUCGGACGAACGUUAAAGAAAGCUUCGUACGGAGUGACGGUUGACCCAGCAGUUGGCGACACAUGCCUAAGAUAGUUGGCUGUCGCUAACGCCUCCGCCCAUAAUGACUUAGGUAGACCGGACUCGACAAGCAUAGCCCUAGUUUUGUCUAGGAGAGUGCGAUUUAAGCGUUCCGCUGCUCCGUUCUGCUCAGGGGUGUAGCCUACCGUAGUCCCGUGUACAAUACCCCUGGAAGCGAAAUAGGCCUUCGUGCGAGUAUUAACGAACUCCCCGCCACGAUCUGUACACACCUCCUUAACCUGCCUGCCAGUAGCGCGCUCCAGUUCCGCUAUCAUUACCACCAUCUUCUGAUAGACCUCCUCCUUGGUCGCUGUAAAACAACAGCUGAAAGACCGGUAUAAUCGUCAAGCAGAGUUAUCACGUAACACGAACCACUAGGCGAAGGUUCAGGCAUAGGUCCACACACAUCCAUUAACAGGCAGGCGGCUGGCAGAGGUUAAGGCCUGGCUUCUGCUCCCGACGCGUCCCGGCGCGUCUGGGUUCAAAUCCGCCUGCCGACCUCUCGGGGUGUUUGAGAGGUGAUGGGAGGUGGCCCCCCAUCUUGUGGACGGUGUAGGACGUGAUAAAAUCAACUCGCGAGCCGACCAGGAACUAAGUUGACGCGCCGUUGAUCCGCUAGACUUGGUUGGAUGCUGGUGGUGAGUUGCCAAACUCAAAGAGUACACUCUGAAGUCGGAUGGGGUGAAUGGCUUAGGGUGCCCCUCUAGCAGGGGAGAGCAGGGAAUUGCCUCGGGAAGGAGGCCACUGGUGAAGCGUAACCACCC
Molecule: long non-coding RNA, 3202 nt
Filed under: Volvox carteri
Lineage: Eukaryota; Viridiplantae; Chlorophyta; Chlorophyceae; Chlamydomonadales; Volvocaceae
Description: long non-coding RNA (VCAR_LNC000820)
Source: RNAcentral